This 2783-nucleotide ribosomal RNA is filed under the name Salmonella enterica subsp. enterica serovar Brunei. RNAcentral describes it as "partial 23S ribosomal RNA". It matches the Rfam family "Bacterial large subunit ribosomal RNA". Lineage: Bacteria; Pseudomonadati; Pseudomonadota; Gammaproteobacteria; Enterobacterales; Enterobacteriaceae. The record is from RNAcentral.
GACUCGUCACACUAUCAUUAACUGAAUCCAUAGGUUAAUGAGGCGAACCGGGGGAACUGAAACAUCUAAGUACCCCGAGGAAAAGAAAUCAACCGAGAUUCCCCCAGUAGCGGCGAGCGAACGGGGAGGAGCCCAGAGCCUGAAUCAGCAUGUGUGUUAGUGGAAGCGUCUGGAAAGGCGCGCGAUACAGGGUGACAGCCCCGUACACAAAAGCGCAUGUGCUGUGAGCUCGAUGAGUAGGGCGGGACACGUGGUAUCCUGUCUGAAUAUGGGGGGACCAUCCUCCAAGGCUAAAUACUCCUGACUGACCGAUAGUGAACCAGUACCGUGAGGGAAAGGCGAAAAGAACCCCGGCGAGGGGAGUGAAAAAGAACCUGAAACCGUGUACGUACAAGCAGUGGGAGCACCCUUUUGGGUGUGACUGCGUACCUUUUGUAUAAUGGGUCAGCGACUUAUAUUCUGUAGCAAGGUUAACCGAAUAGGGGAGCCGGAGGGAAACCGAGUCUUAAUUGGGCGUUAAGUUGCAGGGUAUAGACCCGAAACCCGGUGAUCUAGCCAUGGGCAGGUUGAAGGUUGGGUAACACUAACUGGAGGACCGAACCGACUAAUGUUGAAAAAUUAGCGGAUGACCUGUGGCUGGGGGUGAAAGGCCAAUCAAACCGGGAGAUAGCUGGUUCUCCCCGAAAGCUAUUUAGGUAGCGCCUCGUGAAUUCAUCUCCGGGGGUAGAGCACUGUUUCGGCUAGGGGGCCAUCCCGGCUUACCAACCCGAUGCAAACUGCGAAUACCGGAGAAUGUUAUCACGGGAGACACACGGCGGGUGCUAACGUCCGUCGUGAAGAGGGAAACAACCCAGACCGCCAGCUAAGGUCCCAAAGUCAUGGUUAAGUGGGAAACGAUGUGGGAAGGCCCAGACAGCCAGGAUGUUGGCUUAGAAGCAGCCAUCAUUUAAAGAAAGCGUAAUAGCUCACUGGUCGAGUCGGCCUGCGCGGAAGAUGUAACGGGGCUAAACCAUGCACCGAAGCUGCGGCAGCGACGCUGAUGCGUUGUUGGGUAGGGGAGCGUUCUGUAAGCCUGCGAAGGUGGCCUGUGAGGGUUGCUGGAGGUAUCAGAAGUGCGAAUGCUGACAUAAGUAACGAUAAAGCGGGUGAAAAGCCCGCUCGCCGGAAGACCAAGGGUUCCUGUCCAACGUUAAUCGGGGCAGGGUGAGUCGACCCCUAAGGCGAGGCCGAAAGGCGUAGUCGAUGGGAAACGGGUUAAUAUUCCCGUACUUGGUGUUACUGCGAAGGGGGGACGGAGAAGGCUAUGUUGGCCGGGCGACGGUUGUCCCGGUUUAAGCGUGUAGGUGUGUGUUCCAGGUAAAUCCGGUUCACUUUAACACUGAGGCGUGACGACGAGGCACUACGGUGCUGAAGCAACAAAUGCCCUGCUUCCAGGAAAAGCCUCUAAGCAUCAGGUAACAUCAAAUCGUACCCCAAACCGACACAGGUGGUCAGGUAGAGAAUACCAAGGCGCUUGAGAGAACUCGGGUGAAGGAACUAGGCAAAAUGGUGCCGUAACUUCGGGAGAAGGCACGCUGACACGUAGGUGAAGUGAUUUACUCACGGAGCUGAAGUCAGUCGAAGAUACCAGCUGGCUGCAACUGUUUAUUAAAAACACAGCACUGUGCAAACACGAAAGUGGACGUAUACGGUGUGACGCCUGCCCGGUGCCGGAAGGUUAAUUGAUGGGGUCAGCGCAAGCGAAGCUCCUGAUCGAAGCCCCGGUAAACGGCGGCCGUAACUAUAACGGUCCUAAGGUAGCGAAAUUCCUUGUCGGGUAAGUUCCGACCUGCACGAAUGGCGUAAUGAUGGCCAGGCUGUCUCCACCCGAGACUCAGUGAAAUUGAACUCGCUGUGAAGAUGCAGUGUACCCGCGGCAAGACGGAAAGACCCCGUGAACCUUUACUAUAGCUUGACACUGAACAUUGAGCCUUGAUGUGUAGGAUAGGUGGGAGGCUUUGAAGCGUGGACGCCAGUCUGCGUGGAGCCGACCUUGAAAUACCACCCUUUAAUGUUUGAUGUUCUAACGUGGACCCGUUACCCGGGUUGCGGACAGUGUCUGGUGGGUAGUUUGACUGGGGCGGUCUCCUCCUAAAGAGUAACGGAGGAGCACGAAGGUUGGCUAAUCCUGGUCGGACAUCAGGAGGUUAGUGCAAUGGCAUAAGCCAGCUUGACUGCGAGCGUGACGGCGCGAGCAGGUGCGAAAGCAGGUCAUAGUGAUCCGGUGGUUCUGAAUGGAAGGGCCAUCGCUCAACGGAUAAAAGGUACUCCGGGGAUAACAGGCUGAUACCGCCCAAGAGUUCAUAUCGACGGCGGUGUUUGGCACCUCGAUGUCGGCUCAUCACAUCCUGGGGCUGAAGUAGGUCCCAAGGGUAUGGCUGUUCGCCAUUUAAAGUGGUACGCGAGCUGGGUUUAGAACGUCGUGAGACAGUUCGGUCCCUAUCUGCCGUGGGCGCUGGAGAACUGAGGGGGGCUGCUCCUAGUACGAGAGGACCGGAGUGGACGCAUCACUGGUGUUCGGGUUGUCAUGCCAAUGGCACUGCCCGGUAGCUAAAUGCGGAAGAGAUAAGUGCUGAAAGCAUCUAAGCACGAAACUUGCCCCGAGAUGAGUUCUCCCUGAGACUUAGAGUCUCCUGAAGGAACGUUGAAGACGACGACGUUGAUAGGCCGGGUGUGUAAGCGCAGCGAUGCGUUGAGCUAACCGGUACUAAUGAACCGUGAGGCUUAACCUUACAACGCCGAAG